Molecule: small RNA, 3835 nt
Filed under: Mytilus galloprovincialis (Mediterranean mussel)
Lineage: Eukaryota; Metazoa; Mollusca; Bivalvia; Mytilida; Mytilidae
Source: RNAcentral
AUGUCGGAGCCGGCAGAAAUAAACAUGCUCAUCGACCAAAAAAUUAAAGACGCUAUGAGCCAGAACCAAAACGAGAGACUGCAGAGCAUCGACAGAUUAAUGUCUAGUCGUUUAGACACGUUUCAGAGAUCCGUUCACGAAACGCAGAGGCAGCUAUCAGAAACUCAAAUGUCUAAAAUCCAGCAGAUGAACACCGAAAAUUACGUUUUCAAGCGAAAGGGAAACGAAGAGCAGUUCAAGGUUAACACAAAAAUCGCCAACAAGAUGAAAGAGGCCAGAAGUAUUCUAACAGAAUCGCAGGACAACAACGAAAGUACAGAGGGCGCGAUGAGGAACAUUUGUGAAGGUUUGGACAUUCUCAAUCAUCGACAAAAAUUGAUUAAGCUCGCGGAUCAGUCCGAGAACGGAUGGAGAACAGUUACCGAGUAUGAAACGCACAACCAAGCAGAUGAUUCGGAAGACGAAAAACGCAUAAUACGAGCAGAAAACAAAGCGUCGAGGAAAAUGAAGAGCGACAAAAAGUUUAAGACACGUACAACUCCUUACAGUGCCCCACAGUCUACUCGAUUCAGCUCAGUUAAUCAACAGAGUACAGUUAACAUUCCUGUGGUGCAUCGACCCGGAAAAUGUUAUGAGUGUGGUUUUUCAGGACAUUGGAGGUCAGACCAUUAUAAACAGGGUUGGCAAACUCAGAAAGAAAAGUCUGAUAAGAUAAGUACUAGAUUAUUUACUAUUUUAGUAAUGAAUUAUCUGUUAAUUUUGGUAGAGAAAAUGCUAUAUUUUCAUGUAAUUCACCUGUAUGUAAAUUAAGAAGUUCAAUUGAUUAUUGGCGUAAUAUUAUUUGCGCUAACGAGACAGUUAUUGAUAUCAUAGAACAUGGAUAUAAAAUACCUUUUCACACAGAGCCAAGUGAGGUAUUUUUGAAUAACAACAAAUCGUCUUUAGAGAAUUCAGAUUUCGUAGAAAAUGAGAUUUUAAAGUUGAUAGAAUUAGGAUGCAUAAAAGAAUUUUCAUGUAAACCUAAAGUAGUCAAUCCGUUGACGGUAGCUAACAAUAAAAACAAAUUAAGAUUAGUUUUAGAUUGUAGACACAUUAACCCACAUCUUCAUAAAUUCAGAUUUAAAUAUAAAGAUGCUAGCGUAGCCAGUCAAAUGUUUAAGAAGGGAGAUUACUGCUUUACUUACGAUUUGAGAUCGGCAUACCAUCAUGUAGAGAUAUUUGAAUCACACAAGACAUAUUUAGGUUUUGCUUGGGUCAAAAAUCGUGAAACAAAAUAUUACGUCUUUAAUGUUUUACCAUUUGGUAUAUCUACUGCUGGUUAUAUAUUCACCAAAGUUGUAAGGUGUAUUGUUAAACAUUUACGAAAUUCAGGUUUGAAAAUUAUCAUGUAUUUAGACGAUGGUUUAGGCGGGGCUGACGAGAUAAGUCAGGCCCAGGAAACUAGCAUAGUUGUUCAGAAAGUACUGAAAGCUUCUGGGUUUUUGAUAGCAGAAGAUAAAUGCAAUUGGACACCUAGCCAAAAUGUGGUAUGGUUGGGUUUGGUAUGGCAAUUUGACAAAGGCAUGGUUUCAGUCACGGAAAGGCGACUUUCCAAAUUGUUAGAUACUUUAAAUAGAAUUAUACACAAAAUAGGUAAAGGAGAAAUACACGUUUCGGCAAGGUUUCUUGCUUCUAUAAUUGUUCAGAUCAUAUCUAUGCAAGGGGCAGUUGGUCCUGUAGUUAGACUACGUACAAGAAGUAUGUACGAAUGCAUUUUGUAUAAAGCAAGCUGGAAUGCUAAUGUUCUGUUGAACAGUAGAUCUCUUGAUGAGAUAAUUUUCUGGAAGGAAAAUAUAGAGAAAAUGAAUGGCAGAGAAUUGCAUAUUGUUGAGCAAUACUCGAGUGUAGUAUACACAGAUGCCUCGGGCAUAGGUUACGGUGGCUAUUUGGUAAAAGCCAUAGACGAAGAGAUUAUGGGUAGUUGGAACGAUGGAGAAAAAUUGAAAAGUUCUACUUGGAGAGAGCUUGAGGCAGUUUAUAGAGUACUGCAGUCUAUAUCUAUGUCAUUAAAAGGUCAAACAGUUAAGUGGCACACAGAUAAUCAGAACGUAGUAAACAUAAUAAAAAAGGGCAGUAAGAAAUCUGAUUUACAAAAUAUUACAAUUAAAAUAGCAAACGUAUGUGAAUCAAAUAGCAUUAAGAUCGUACCAGAGUGGGUACCUAGACAAGAGAACGUUAAAGCAGAUAAAAUUAGCAAAACUAUUGAUUGCGAUGAUUGGGAGAUAGACGAUAUUACAUUUGAAUAUCUUAAUCAGAAUUGGGGUCCACAUACCGUAGAUAGGUUUGCCACUGAUUACAAUGCAAAAUGUAGCAUAUUCAAUACUAAACACUGGUGUCCAGGUACACUGGGUAUCGAUGCUUUCAAUAGACAGUGGGGUAAAGAAAAUAACUGGAUUGUGCCACCACCUUCAGACAUAUCCCGAUGUAUACACAAAAUUAUACAAGAUAAAGCAGAUAGCACUUUAUUUGUUCCUUUAUGGGUUUCAGCACCAUAUUGGCCACUUUUACACAAAGUCUAUGGUAAUGUUGUAGAAUUCGAAUCGUUCAUUAAAGAUAGUAAAAUAUUACCAUCAACAGUUAUCAAAAAAGGCCGAGGUAGAAAUGGUAUGUUCGGAAAAUCAACAGAUUUCAGGAUGUUGGCUAUGAAAAUAAGGUUUUAAUUUAUUUCAUUCUUUCCUACAGGUAUCGGUCUGAAAAGCAGGGUGUUGGAGCAAAUACAAGAUGGAGUGAUUCUUUCGGCUGAUUUUGACGAAUUGGGACGUAAGAUGUCAUCGUAUUUACUGCAGUCCAGGAGUGACAAUACUAACAAUAAAUAUUUUUAUGCUUAUAAACGGUGGGAGAGAUUUAUAUUGAAACAAGGGGGACUAUCUUUGCCAGCAAAGCCUAUACAUGUAGCUUUAUAUUUAACCAAACUGAUAGACACAGGUUCAUCUUAUAGUGUAGUUCAGUCAGCGUUUUACGGUAUAAAAUGGGCACAUACAGUUCAAGGUUUUUCAGAUCCCACAGAAAAUGCUUUUGUGACCAAUUUACUGGAGUCAUCUAAACGUCAACCACAUAAACCGAAAGUUAAAAAGGAACAUAUUGAUUCUGAAUCUAUUAUUGAACUUUGUACAAAAUAUAAAGACAGUGAUGAUAUAGCUAUUUUAAGGGAUUUAUGUAUGAUUGUUCUUAGUUUCUCUGGAUUUCUUAGAUUCAAUGAGCUUAGUUCUCUUCGAUGUAAAGACGUUCAUUUCAAAACUAAUUAUUUAGAGAUUGAUAUUGACAAAAGCAAAACUGAUCAGUAUAGAUUAGGGGAAAAAUUAGUUAUUUCAAAUGGUGAGUCUGCUGCUUGUCCUUAUAAUUUAUUGUCCAAGUAUUUCAGUAUUUGUAAAAUUGAGUCCAGUUCUGAGCAGUAUUUAUUUAAACCUAUUUUUAGAUCAGGCAAACGGUGUUCGCUAAUUUACAAGAACAAAAAACUGAGUUAUACCAGAGCUAGAGAGUGUAUAGUAGCUAGACUCAAAGAAGUUUGUGGUGAUAUAAACAUAGGUUUACAUUCUUUAAGGGCGGGUGGAGCCACUGUCGCAGCUAACGCUGAUGUUAACGAACGCUGCUGGAAACGGCACGGUCGAUGGAAAUCUGAUACUGCCAAAGAUGGGUACGUGGCAGACUCACUUGCACAUCGUUUAGAAGUUACUAAGAAGCUAGGUCUUUAGCAUUUUCAUUUUAUUGUAUAUCAUUUACACUUUUCCGCCCUUUCUUUGUGUUUUCUAGUCUGCACGGCUAAAUGCAAUUUGUGUUUGUUAUUAUUGUAGUGUAG